Lathyrus oleraceus (garden pea) is the source of this 3055-nucleotide long non-coding RNA. RefSeq lists it as uncharacterized. The transcript is spliced from 3 exons. Lineage: Eukaryota; Viridiplantae; Streptophyta; Magnoliopsida; Fabales; Fabaceae. The record is from RefSeq and is a predicted model, not a curated record.
UGCUAAAAACAUAAAGGAAUUACCAAAAAUAAGAUGGGCCUUGAUGGCAUCUGUAGCCCACUAGGGCGCACAAACUGCAAAGAAAAGAAAAAGAGAACCGAAGCCCAAAAGGCCCAAAAGGGCUCCGCCUACCUCGGGUAAUCCGAACUCGAAGCGGGUCCAAUAAAACCCUUCUCAUUUUACCAGUAAAUGUGAAGGAGACAAUGGCUCCCCAACUCCAACGGUAAGUAAUAACUAGGGGGAAAACCAAAGCGGUGACUUGCCUUAGGCAGUGAGAAAAGUAUUCUCAUUAAUGGCCAACGAACAUACUCUUAACAAGGAAUGAAGCAAGGAUCUAGAACGUGGUAAAGGCGCUUAUGUUUGCCUCCGCCUCUCCCUCUCCCAAUGAAAUAAACUACUUCCUUUCUUUCUUAUAUCAAAAUGUUUAUCUCUUCUUAUUCCUCGUGAGAAAGAGGCGUACAAAAAAUGAGAAGGAAAUAAAUUCGAAAACCAAGCUCAAUCAAAAGACAAACACACGCACCAUAAACUUAAGUAAAAGGUCAUAGAAACAGGAGCUAUAAAACAACAUGGAUUCGGUUCAACACAUCAAUGAGGAGUAAUGAAUCCAGAUCUACAAAAAGGGAGCUCAUAGAAGGAGAUAAGAAUGAAUCUCUUACCCAAACUGAGGUUCUGGAAAAAAAAUAGCUCCGAGUUCAGCGGAUCUUCUGGAUUCCGGCAAAUGUCCUAUCCCCGUGAGCGACUCUGUGGUGAGGCGAAGGUAAGUGGUCCCUCUUCCAGGUGUGGUGAAAUGAGUUGGCGAAAUCCAUUAGCCGUUAGGUAAAGAUCUUCUAUUCGAUUUGUGGGGACCAAUUAUUUGCUCCAGAUUUUGUUAAGCAAGAAAUUCUUUCUGUCUGUUGUGAGUGAGUGUUUUUCUGUCUGUAGCGACGCAUUUUCAUCCAUUUAAAACUCAAGUGGUCCCUUUAAUCUGGUAUGACAUCACAUUGAAAAUUUAUUUUUGUAUGCGUGUGAUAUGGUUCUAAUGUGUGUGGCUGUUUUUCAAAAGCAGCUUAAACCUUCUAGCUUGGGAGACUCGGCUGGUGAACUUUCAUGAAUUACAUUACAAUUGUUGCACAGAAGAACUUCCAUGGUGGUAUCUAAGAUGGACCUUUGCACUGCAACUUUUUCUUUCUAUUGUUAUCCUUUUUGGUGUGAUUGGUAUUGGUUUUAUGCAGGUGUGAAUGUAAUAACUUGUGAUGUUGUAGUUGGUCCAGGUUCAUGGUUAUCAAGAUAACCUGAAAUAUGGCGGCAUGAAUGGUUGUGGACCAGGGUCUGGUUAUGUAUCAUGAUGUUGUAACAUGUGUGUACCUGUUUUAAGCCUGAACUCUUUUAGCUGCGGAUUCAAACAUUGCAUAUUUAGUGUUCCUACAGGUCAUUUAUCUGAUGUGAUAAUGAUAUUUGACUCCACAACUAUUUUAACUGCUAUGAAUUUGAUUCAACCUCACUAGCUUUGCUUUGUCUAAGGGAUUUGAUCAUGAUUGCUUUCCACUGAUGUACUUUGAAAUCUUGUGAAUACUGGUGCAGGUACAUGAAACUUUGAUACAGGAUUUCCGAGUCCUGGCUUUCGUUUCAAUGAGGUGAUAUGUAUUGUCCUGUCGCCGGUUCACAUGACGGGUCUGAUUCCUCAAAACAAACUAUAGGGCAUGUUUGUUUAGCUUGUGGAAUUUUGACUUGGACGGUAAUGCAGGCUGGACUGUUGAAGAAGUUCCUUUUGGUAACAGAGUUGCUUUUGCUGGUUUUGCAUAUGUCAUAGUUCUUUAAUAGCGUCAAUUGUUGCUCUGCAGGUUCACAAUUGAUUAAGAUAACGCAAAUCACGGCAGCAUCCUGAAAUGGCUUAGAAUUCUGUCCUGCAUAGAAUCUAAGUUUCACGUGUCGUGCUACAAUUUGGUAGGUCCUCUACAACUGGUGAUUCUCAAGGUCAUGUAUGUGUUCGGCUUUCCAAGUCCAUGCCUGCGUAUAUUCUGCAAUAAGUUAUGUUUAGAUUUGGUUUGAAGUGUUGUAAUGUUUGGUCUCCCUGUAUUCUAAAGCUUUUCAUGGUUGUGGUUUGAGCUUCUCUGUGACUGCUGCCGGCAUUUGCUGGUAUUGAUUCUAAUCUUGGACUGUUAAGGACGUCGAUUUUAGCUUGGCAUUUUGUUGUUGCAGGUUCUACAGGUGUUGCAUCGUUAGUAUGCAUGGUUCUUGAUGCUAACCAAAUGGCCCUGCAGUGGAUUUCUAUCCUGCAAUGUGGUCGGUUAUUCGUGGCUGCCACUUUAGAGUUUUUGAAGGAGUGUUGAUGCAUCAACGACAACGUUGGUUAACAAGGUAGUUGGCUCAAGUUAAAGACACACUUGCAGGUUAUAAGUCGGUUGUGAUUUACCCUUUCAGAACAACCGGUAAGGUUGUACAUACCACAUGUAACAUAGUUUUAGCAAUGUACGUUUCCUGUUCGUACUUGGAACUGCUGUGAGUUAUGAUUUGACCAGGGCCACUUUGUUGCAGGUCCUUUUAAAACUUGUAGCUUUCCCUAUGCUUCUUUGCACUUUUAUCCUUGCGCACCUGUAUUCACAUUCGCAUUAUCGGUGUGGUACUGCUAGCUCUUGGAUCUAUAGGUCACCGCAUGAUACGGGAGAGAAGCUUAUACUGUCUUGUGGAAACUAAUGCAAGGAAUGGCCUGAGAAACUGAUGUGGAAUUAUUCAGGUAUUAUGAGACUUAUGCCAUGCGUGUUCCUCGGCUCAUUUGUGGUGUGCCUGCUCUUCUGCAUAUGGUUCUGGUGUAAACAAAAAUGGUUCUAUAGUAAGCUCCUCCUGCACUGUUUAUCGGUUAUCAGAGGUUGAGGGUUUGUUUACGACACUGCAUAUCUCUCGCAUUGACGACCACUGACUAUGUUCAGACUUUUCUUAUCCUGCUUCUUUUGUUUGUAACAUGUAGCGACUUAGGUUGUGUUAUCAACCCAUUUGGCCGUGCUUAAACAUGUACUUGCAUAACGAUUUGAAAAUGUGCUUAAACAUUUGUAUGCUGUAAUGUUAGUUUGAAAAAUGA